AGCUUUGCGCAGUGGCAAUAUCGUAGCCAGUGAGGUUUAUCCGAGGCGCGAUUAUUACUAAUUGAAAACUUUUCCCAAUACCCCGCCUUGACAACUUGAAAUAUAGUCGGCAUUGGAAUUUUUGACAGUCUCUACAGAGA
Molecule: small nuclear RNA, 140 nt
Filed under: Echinops telfairi (small Madagascar hedgehog)
Lineage: Eukaryota; Metazoa; Chordata; Mammalia; Afrosoricida; Tenrecidae
Description: U4 spliceosomal RNA (ENSETEG00000021837.1)
Rfam family: U4 spliceosomal RNA
About the family: U4 small nuclear RNA (U4 snRNA) is a component of the major U2-dependent spliceosome.
Source: RNAcentral